CACGUAGGGGGCAAGCGUUGUCCGGAAUUAUUGGGCGUAAAGAGCUCGUAGGCGGCUCGGUAAGUCAGGUGUCAAAUCCUCAGGCUCAACCUGGGGCUCCACCUGAUACUGCUGUGGCUAGAGUCCGGUAGGGGAGCGUGGAAUUCCUGGUGUAGCGGUGAAAUGCGCAGAUAUCAGGAGGAACACCAGCGGCGAAGGCGGCCUUCUGGACGGUGACUGACGCUGAGACGCGAAAGCGUGGGGAGCGAACAGG
This 253-nucleotide ribosomal RNA is filed under the name uncultured bacterium. Its description in RNAcentral is "partial 16S ribosomal RNA". It matches the Rfam family "Bacterial small subunit ribosomal RNA", at positions 524 to 776 of the family's 1533-position model. The record is from RNAcentral.